Molecule: non-coding RNA, 207 nt
Filed under: Pseudogulbenkiania sp. NH8B
Lineage: Bacteria; Pseudomonadati; Pseudomonadota; Betaproteobacteria; Neisseriales; Chromobacteriaceae
Also listed under: 1 other name
Source: RNAcentral
GAUCGGCCCGGGGCUUGAGGUUUCCCGCCGUCUGGGGAACUUCAACGGGAAGACGGUGUGCCGAACGGCAAAUCCGUCGCUGCCCCCGCAACGGUAAUCGAGUCAGCGUCGGCAACACGCCACUGGGGUCGCACCCGGGAAGGCGCCGGCGUGGGAGCGCGCUCCCGGCUCGUGAGCCCGGAGACCGGCCGAAGGCGACGACGCUAU